AUUGAACGCUGGCGGCAUGCUUUACACAUGCAAGUCGAACGGUAACAGGCCUUCGGGUGCUGACGAGUGGCGAACGGGUGAGUAAUGCAUCGGAACGUACCCAGAGGUGGGGGAUAACGCAGCGAAAGCUGUGCUAAUACCGCAUGUGAUCUGAGGAUGAAAGCGGGGGACCGAGCAGCAAUGUUUGGCCUCGCGCCUUUGGAGCGGCCGAUGUCGGAUUAGCUAGUUGGGUGGGUAAAGGCCUACCAAGGCGACGAUCCGUAGCUGGUCUGAGAGGACGACCAGCCACACUGGGACUGAGACACGGCCCAGACUCCUACGGGAGGCAGCAGUGGGGAAUUUUGGACAAUGGGCGCAAGCCUGAUCCAGCAAUGCCGCGUGCGGGAAGAAGGCCUUCGGGUUGUAAACCGCUUUUGGCAGGAACGAAACGGUGUCCGCUAAUACCGGGCGCUAAUGACGGUACCUGCAGAAUAAGCACCGGCUAACUACGUG
Molecule: ribosomal RNA, 492 nt
Filed under: uncultured bacterium
Lineage: Bacteria
Description: partial 16S ribosomal RNA
Rfam family: Bacterial small subunit ribosomal RNA
Source: RNAcentral